UCGAGAAUCUUUUGCAAUGCGCGAAAGCGUGACAGAGUAAUGCCGCGUGCCAGAUGAAGGUCUUCGGAUUGUAAAUGGCUGUCACCCGUGACGAAAAAUGACGGUAACGGGGGAGGAAGCCACGGCUAACUACGUGCCAGCAGCCGCGGUAAUACGUAGGUGGCGAGCGUUGUUCGGAUUUAUUGGGCGUAAAGGGUCCGUAGGUGGUUUACUAAGUCUGACGUGAAAUCCCAUGGCUCAACCAUGGAACUGCGUUGGAGACUGGUGAACUAGAGUUUUGGAGAGGUAAGCGGAAUACCAGGUGUAGCGGUGGAAUGCGUAGAUAUCUGGUAGAACACCGAAAGCGAAGGCAGCUUACUGGACAAUGACUGACACUAAGGGACGAAAGCGUGGGGAGCAAACA
RNAcentral lists this ribosomal RNA (403 nucleotides) under uncultured Victivallis sp. RNAcentral describes it as "partial 16S ribosomal RNA". It matches the Rfam family "Bacterial small subunit ribosomal RNA", at positions 355 to 774 of the family's 1533-position model. Lineage: Bacteria; Pseudomonadati; Lentisphaerota; Lentisphaeria; Victivallales; Victivallaceae. The record is from RNAcentral.